RNAcentral lists this long non-coding RNA (2258 nucleotides) under Homo sapiens (human). RNAcentral describes it as "non-protein coding lnc-DCAF17-2:1". The record is from RNAcentral. Lineage: Eukaryota; Metazoa; Chordata; Mammalia; Primates; Hominidae.
AAUAGGAGAAAAGCAAACAAAUUUAUUAACUUGCAUAAGCAUGGAGCCAUGUAAAAUAUGAGACUCAAGGAAGGGCCAGAUGGAGCUUACAUAGUUCCCUCUUCACAGAAGAGAGGGAGAUGGGGGAAUACAGGCUAUUUUGAGGGAUAAUAAUAUGGUUUGGCUGUGUCCCCACCCAAAUCUCACCUUGAGUUGUAAUAAUCCCCAUGUGUCAAGGGCUGGGCCAGGUGGAGAUAAUUGAAUCAUGGGGGCAGUUUCCCCCAUACUGUUCUGGUGGUAGUGAUUAAGUCUCAUGAGAUCUGAUGGUUUUAUAAAUAGGAGUUCCCCUGCACAAGCUCUCUUGCCUGCCUCCAUGUAAGAUGUGACUUUGCUCCCCAUUUGCCUUCAGUCAUGACUGUGAAGCCUCUCCAGCCAGGUGGAACUGUGAGUCAAUCAAACCUCUUUCCUUUAUAAAUUACCCAGUCUCAGGUAUGUCUUUAUUAGUAGCACGAGCACAGACUAAUACAGUAAAUUGGUACCAGGAGUGGGGUGCUGCUGUAAAGAUACCCAAAAAUGUGGAAGCAACUUUGGAAAUGGGUAACAGGCAGAGGCUGGAACAGUUUGGAGGGCUCAGAAGAAGACAGGAAAAUGUGGGAAAGUUUGGAACCUCCUAGAGACUUGUUGAAUGGCUUUGACCAAAAUGCUGAUAGUGACAGGGACAAUAAAGUCCAGGCUGAGGUGGUCUCCGAUGGAGAUAAGGAACAUAUUGGGAACUGGAAUAAAGAUCACUCUUGCUACGCAAAGAGUCCAGUGGCAUUUUGUCCCUGCCCUAGAGGUCUGUGGAACUUUGAACUUGAGAGAGAGGAUUUAUAGUAUCAGGUGGAAGAAAUUUCUAAGUGGCAAAGCGUCAAGAGGAAGCAGAGCAUAAAAGUUUGGAAAAUUUACAGCCUGACAAUGUGAUAGAAAAGAAAACCCCAUUUUCUGGGGAGAAAUUCAAGCCAGCUGCAGAAAUUUGCAUAAGUAAUAAGGAGCCAAACGUUAAUCACCAAGACAAUGGGGAAAAUGUCCCCAGGGCAUGUUAGAGACCUUUGCGGCAGCCCCUCCCAUCAUAGGCCCAGCAGCCUAGGAGGGAAAAAUGGUUUCUUGGGCUGGGUCCAGGGACCCCCUGCUGUGUGCAGCCUUGGGAUUUGGUGCCCUGCAUCCCAGCUGGUCCAGCCGUGGCUAGCAGGGGCCAAGGUACAGCUGGGGCCAUGGCUUCAGGAGGUGCAAGCCCCAAGCCUUUGCAGCAUCCACAUGGUGUUAAGCCUGCAGGUGCACAGAAGCCAAGAACUGAGGUCUGGGAACCUCUGCCUAGAUUUCAGAGGAUGUAUGGACACACCUGGAUGUCCAGGCAGAGGUGUGCUGCAGGGGCAGAGCCCUCAUGGAGAACCUCUGCUAGGGCAGUGCAGAAGGGAAAUGUGGAGUGGGAGCCCCCACACAGAGUCCCUACUGGGACACUGCCUAGUGGAGCUGGGAGAAGAGGACCACCAUCCUCCAGACCCCAGAAUGAUAGAUCCACCAACAGCUUGCACUGUGCGCCUGGAAAAGCCACAGACACUCAACACCAGCCCGUGAAAACAACUGGGAGAGAGGCUGUACCCUGCAAAGCCACAGGGGCAGAGCUGCUCAAGACCAUGGGAACCUACCCCUUCCAUCAGGAUGACUUGAAUGUGAGAUAUGGAGUUAAAGGAGAUCAUUUCGCAGCUUUAAGAUUUGACUGCCACAUUGGAUUUUAGACUUGCAUGGGGCCUGUAGCCCCUAUGUUUUGGCCAAUUUCUCCCAUUUGGAAUGGGUAUAUUUACUCAAUGCCUGUACCCCUCAUUGUAUCUAGAAAAUAACUAACUAGCCAGGCGCGGUGGCUCACGCCUGUAAUCCCAGCACUUUGGGAGGCCGAGGUGGGCGGAUCACCUGAGGUCAGGAGUUUGAGACUAGCCUGGCCAACAUGGUGAAACCCUGUCUCUACUAAAAAUAUAAAAAUUAGCCGAGCAUGGUGGCAGGUGCCUGUAAUCCCAGCUACUCGGGAGGCUGAGGCUGGAGAAUUGCUUGAACCCGGGAGGUAGAGGUUCAAAUUCCUGACCUCGGGUGAUCCGCCCGCCUCUGCCUUGCAAAAUGCUGGGAUUGUAGGUGUGACAGACCAUGUCUGGCCGGGUAUGUCUUUAUUAGCAGUGUGAGAACAAACUAACACAGGCAGUGAAUGAUUUUUAGGAGAACUGAGUGGACCCAAAGAGCAGAGAGUAGUU